RNAcentral lists this non-coding RNA (45 nucleotides) under Schistosoma margrebowiei. The record is from RNAcentral. Lineage: Eukaryota; Metazoa; Platyhelminthes; Trematoda; Strigeidida; Schistosomatidae.
AUCCAGUUGACGAGUCUUAAAUAUGACGAAACUUGCGUCCUGGAU